Molecule: unclassified non-coding RNA, 238 nt
Filed under: Hevea brasiliensis (rubber tree)
Lineage: Eukaryota; Viridiplantae; Streptophyta; Magnoliopsida; Malpighiales; Euphorbiaceae
Source: RNAcentral
UCGACGGCAGGUUAGCCAGCGCCCAGCGCGCGAGCGAUGUUGUAGGCGAAGAAGCUCGCGGUAUAAGCGAGCGCGAACAUGUAAGCGAAAGUGAUCGCCAUCCACUUCCAACUGCCGGUUUCGCGGCGGAUGACUGCCAGGGUCGAGGCACAUUGCGGCGCGAAAAUAUACCAGAGCAGCAGCGACAACGCCGUCGCGAGACUCCAUUUGGCGGCGAGCACCUGUCCGAUCUGGUCGG